GAUGAAGACCGCAGCGAAAUGCGAUAAGUAAUGUGAAUUGCAGAAUUCAGUGAAUCAUCGAAUCUUUGAACGCACAUUGCGCCCGCUAGUAUUCUGGCGGGCAUGCCUGUCCGAGCGUCAUUUCAACCCUCAAGCCCCCGGGCUUGGUGUUGGGGAUCGGCGAGCCUCCGCGCCCGCCGUCCCCUAAAUCUAGUGGCGGUCUCGCUGUAGCUUCCUCUGCGUAGUAGCACACCUCGCACUGGGAAACAGCGCGGCCACGCCGUUAAACCCCCAACUUCUGAACGUUUGACCUCGGAUCAGGUAGGAAUACCCGCUGAACUUAAGCAUAUCAAUAAGCGGAGGA
Molecule: unclassified non-coding RNA, 343 nt
Filed under: soil metagenome
Description: partial contains 5.8S ribosomal RNA, internal transcribed spacer 2, and large subunit ribosomal RNA
Rfam family: 5.8S ribosomal RNA (bases 1-120)
Source: RNAcentral